GAUGAACGCUAGCGGCAGGCUUAAUACAUGCAAGGCGAACGGCAAGCUUGGUAGCAAUACUGAGCCUAGAGUGUCGUAAGGGUGCGUAACACGUAUGCAACCUACCCUGUACAGGAGGAUAGCUCGGGGAAACUCGAAUUAACCCUCCAUAAUAUCACGAGAUGGCAUCGUUUUGUGAUUAAAACUGAGGUGGUACAGGAUGGGCAUGCGUUUGAUUAGCUAGUUGGCGGGGUAACGGCCCACCAAGGCGAUGAUCAAUAGGGGAACUGAGAGGUUGA
This 278-nucleotide ribosomal RNA is filed under the name uncultured bacterium. RNAcentral's name for it is "partial 16S ribosomal RNA". It matches the Rfam family "Bacterial small subunit ribosomal RNA", at positions 28 to 303 of the family's 1533-position model. The record is from RNAcentral.